AAAUGAAAUUCGGGAGAAGCCGGCAGGAAUGCCGGUGCCGAAGGAGCAGCCGCCCCGGCGAACUCUCAGGCAAAAGGACCGUUUUUCACAA
RNAcentral lists this non-coding RNA (91 nucleotides) under Paracoccus seriniphilus. RNAcentral describes it as "Glycine sequence". It matches the Rfam family "Glycine riboswitch aptamer". Rfam says of the family: This family represents the bacterial glycine riboswitch. Glycine riboswitches usually consist of two metabolite-binding aptamers domains with similar structures in tandem. Lineage: Bacteria; Pseudomonadati; Pseudomonadota; Alphaproteobacteria; Rhodobacterales; Paracoccaceae. The record is from Rfam by way of RNAcentral.